GCCCAUGGUGCUAGUGGUAAAAGGCAGCACCAAUGAUGCUGAGGUUGUGGGUUCAAAUCCCACCAGACA
This 69-nucleotide transfer RNA is filed under the name Cronartium ribicola 11-2. RNAcentral's name for it is "tRNA-Ile (AAT) (tRNA-Ile-AAT-5-1)". Lineage: Eukaryota; Fungi; Basidiomycota; Pucciniomycetes; Pucciniales; Coleosporiaceae. The record is from RNAcentral.